Molecule: ribosomal RNA, 468 nt
Filed under: uncultured bacterium
Lineage: Bacteria
Description: partial 16S ribosomal RNA
Rfam family: Bacterial small subunit ribosomal RNA
Source: RNAcentral
GACGAACGCUGGCGGCGUGCUUAACACAUGCAAGUCGAACGGAAAGGCCCUGCUUUUGUGGGGUGCUCGAGUGGCGAACGGGUGAGUAACACGUGAGUAACCUGCCCUUGACUUUGGGAUAACUUCAGGGAACUGGGGCUAAUACCGGAUAGGAGCUCCUGCUGCAUGGUGGGCGUUGGAAAGUUUCGGCGGUUGGGGAUGGACUCGCGGCUUAUCAGCUUGUUGGUGGGGUAGUGGCUUACCAAGGCUUUGACGGGUAGCCGGCCUGAGAGGGUGACCGGCCCCAUUGGGACUGAGAUACGGCCCAGACUCCUACGGGAGGCAGCAGUGGGGAAUAUUGCACAAUGGGCGGAAGCCUGAUGCAGCAACGCCGCGUGCGGGAUGACGGCCUUCGGGUUGUAAACCGCUUUCGCCUGUGACGAAGCGUGAGUGACGGUAAUGGGUAAAGAAGCACCGGCUAACUACGUG